AACGAACGCUGGCGGCAUGCCUAACACAUGCAAGUCGAACGAGACCUUCGGGUCUAGUGGCGCACGGGUGCGUAACGCGUGGGAACCUGCCCUUAGGUUCGGAAUAACUCCCCGAAAGGGGUGCUAAUACCGGAUAAUGUCUUCUGACCAAAGAUUUAUCGCCUUUGGUUGUGCCCUCGUUGGAUUAGCUAGUUGUUAGGGUAAUAGCCUACCAAGGCGCCGAUCCAUAGCUGGUCUGAGAGGAAGAUCAGCGACACUGGGAGUGAGACACGGCCCAGAAUCCUACGCGAGGCAGCAGUGGGUAAUAUUGGACAAUGGGCGAAAGCCUGAUCGAGCAAUGCCGCGUGAGUGAUGAAGGCCUUAGGGUUGUAAAGCUCUUUUAACCGGGAUGAUAAUGACAGUACCGGGAGAAUAAGCUCCGGCUAACUCCGUG
This 433-nucleotide ribosomal RNA is filed under the name uncultured bacterium. RNAcentral describes it as "partial 16S ribosomal RNA". It matches the Rfam family "Bacterial small subunit ribosomal RNA", at positions 29 to 507 of the family's 1533-position model. The record is from RNAcentral.